AUGUGGUCUGCUGGAAAAAUGUUAAAAAAAAUAAAGCCGCUCCAAACCCCCGGGCCCGCGUCGGUGAGCCAGCUCCGGCAAGGUGCAGGCUGGGCGGGGUGGGGGCGACGCGGCCGGCGCCCGCGGGCCACCGCGGACCUUGACCGCCGGGCGGGGUGGGGCGUAGGUGUGGUGGGAGCGCGGGGGCCCCGGGGGAGGGGGCGGGCGCGCGGCGCGGGGCCGCGCGGGCCGUGCAGGAGUGCGCCCCGGCGGGCGGGCGCGGCUCGGGGGCGCGGGGUCGGGCUGCCGCGGCGGGCGGGGUCGGGCGCUGGGCGGGAGCGCACCGUGCACGCGGCGGGGAACCGACUCAAAGUGAAACACUCCCAGGCGUCUGCGGCCGACGCAGCCCGAGGGGGCGGACGCAGCCCCUCCGGCGGCGCGGGGUCCCGGCUGAGCUCGCGCUCGCUCCCGGCCCCUCCCCUGCGCCGCUCCCGGAGCUCCGCACCCCAGGCUCCGGGGCUUCGGGACCGGGGUCGCCUCCCGGCUCCAAUUCCGUCCUGGAAUCCGCCGCCGCGGGGAUGGGGGCCGGCGGUCGAACUUCAGCGCCAGAGGCCUGGGCCCCCCUUCCUUCCGGCCAGCGCACCCCCCCCCCCCUCGGUACGUGCACAGGGCGUCGGAAAAAAGUCCCUGGGUGCCUUAUUAAUGACACAGGCAGGCAAAAAAACAGGCGCUGCCCAGAAUCCCGACCCUGGUGGAGGAAAGUCCGCAGACCAGGCAGCUGGCAGGGCAAAAAGAAGUCUUGGGGGGAAGGUGUCAAAAAUCUUGGGGAGGCCCAGGCCCUGGAGACAUCUCAGCUACCAUGGCUGCGGUUCUGGGAAUGGGGUAGACAAAUUCUCGGCCUGGUGGCCCUGCUCAGCGAGGUGUGAAGACCGCUGGGCCAGAGGUGGGGGCUGGAGCUCAGAGCCACAGGAUCCCCCCGCUGCAAGCAACUGUUCAGACCCGGGGCGGCCAGGUGGCACCUCUGACUCCCAGCCCAAACCUGAUGCCAGUGUCCACUUCUCCCUGUCGCUCCCUCGCGACCCCGCCCUUCUCAAGACUUGGUGUCCCUCUGCAAGUGUGAGAAGAGGUCGGCUCACCUCUUCCGCUUUGGCUUAUGUAUUUUAA
This 1143-nucleotide long non-coding RNA is filed under the name Canis lupus familiaris (dog). Its description in RNAcentral is "lncRNA (ENSCAFG00845017150.1)". The record is from RNAcentral. Lineage: Eukaryota; Metazoa; Chordata; Mammalia; Carnivora; Canidae.